UACGGAGGGUGCGAGCGUUGUCCGGAAUCACUGGGCGUAAAGGGCGCGUAGGCGGCUUGGUAAGUAGGGGGUGAAAUCCUGCGGCUUAACCGCAGGGCUGCCUUCUAAACUGCCAGGCUCGAGCACAGUAGAGGCAGGUGGAAUUCCCGGUGUAGCGGUGGAAUGCGUAGAGAUCGGGAAGAACAUCGGUGGCGAAGGCGGCCUGCUGGGCUGUUGCUGACGCUGAGGCGCGACAGCGUGGGGAGCAAACAGG
This 253-nucleotide ribosomal RNA is filed under the name uncultured bacterium. Its description in RNAcentral is "partial 16S ribosomal RNA". It matches the Rfam family "Bacterial small subunit ribosomal RNA", at positions 524 to 776 of the family's 1533-position model. The record is from RNAcentral.